GAUAACCAAAGGUCACAAGGAGUACCUGAGAAACUACCAGAACCCGAACCCCAGGACCUAUGUCAGCCAGAAAGGCUAUUCCUUCGUCAAGGGGCACACCGAGGUGCUGUCUACCAAGAUUACCCCAUUGAAAGCAAAGGUGGCAGUAACAGAGGGUGAUGCCAUGGAGGAGUGAAACUGCACUCUCGUUCUAAACAAGUUGAUGUUACUCUUCAUAUUCCUUUUGGUUGUAAGGUUGGUUGUAAGGACGACUUGACGGUUAUUGUGAUG
RNAcentral lists this unclassified non-coding RNA (270 nucleotides) under Hevea brasiliensis (rubber tree). The record is from RNAcentral. Lineage: Eukaryota; Viridiplantae; Streptophyta; Magnoliopsida; Malpighiales; Euphorbiaceae.